GUGGGGAAUUUUGGACAAUGGGCGCAAGCCUGAUCCAGCAAUGCCGCGUGCAGGAAGAAGGCCUUCGGGUUGUAAACUGCUUUUGUACGGAACGAAACGGUCUGGGUUAAUACCUCGGGCUAAUGACGGUACCGUAAGAAUAAGCACCGGCUAACUACGUGCCAGCAGCCGCGGUAAUACGUAGGGUGCAAGCGUUAAUCGGAAUUACUGGGCGUAAAGCGUGCGCAGGCGGUUUUGUAAGACAGGCGUGAAAUCCCCGGGCUCAACCUGGGAAUGGCGCUUGUGACUGCAAGGCUGGAGUGCGGCAGAGGGGGAUGGAAUUCCGCGUGUAGCAGUGAAAUGCGUAGAUAUGCGGAGGAACACCGAUGGCGAAGGCAAUCCCCUGGGCCUGCACUGACGCUCAUGCACGAAAGCGUGGGGAGCAAACAGGAUUAGAUACCCUGGUAGUCC
Molecule: ribosomal RNA, 450 nt
Filed under: uncultured bacterium
Lineage: Bacteria
Description: bacterial SSU rRNA
Rfam family: Bacterial small subunit ribosomal RNA
Source: RNAcentral